Molecule: ribosomal RNA, 433 nt
Filed under: uncultured bacterium
Lineage: Bacteria
Description: partial 16S ribosomal RNA
Rfam family: Bacterial small subunit ribosomal RNA
Source: RNAcentral
AACGAACGCUGGCGGCAUGUCUAACACAUGCAAGUCGAACGAGACCUUCGGGUCUAGUGGCGCACGGGUGCGUAACGCGUGGGAACCUGCCCUUAGGUUCGGAAUAACUCCCCGAAAGGGGUGCUAAUACCGGAUAAUGUCUUCGGACCAAAGAUUUAUCGCCUUUGGAUGAGCCCGCGUUGGAUUAGCUAGUUGGUAGGGUAAAAGCCUACCAAGGCGACGAUCCAUAGCUGGUCUGAGAGGAUGAUCAGCCACACUGGGACUGAGACACGGCCCAGACUCCUACGGGAGGCAGCAGUGGGGAAUAUUGGACAAUGGGCGAAAGCCUGAUCCAGCAAUGCCGCGUGAGUGAUGAAGGCCUUAGGGUUGUAAAGCUCUUUUACCCGGGAUGAUAAUGACAGUACCGGGAGAAUAAGCUCCGGCUAACUCCGUG